This 431-nucleotide ribosomal RNA is filed under the name uncultured bacterium. Its description in RNAcentral is "partial 16S ribosomal RNA". It matches the Rfam family "Bacterial small subunit ribosomal RNA", at positions 29 to 507 of the family's 1533-position model. The record is from RNAcentral.
AACGAACGCUGGCGGCAGGCUUAACACAUGCAAGUCGAGCGCCCCGCAAGGGGCGCGGCCGACGGGUGAGUACCGCGUGGGAACGUACCUUUUGGUUCGGAACAACUCCGGGAAACUGGAGCUAAUACCGGAUAAGCCCUAACGGGGAAAGAUUUAUCGCCGAAAGAUCGGCCCGCGUCUGAUUAGCUAGUUGGUGAGGUAACGGCCCACCAAGGCGACGAUCAGUAGCUGGUCUGAGAGGAUGAUCAGCCACACUGGGACUGAGCAGCGGCCCAGACUCUUACGGGAGGCAGGAGUGGGGAAUAUUGGACAAUGGGGGCAAGCCUGAUCCAGCCAGGCCGGGUGAGUGAUGAAGGCAUUAGGGUUGUAAAGCUCGUUUGUCCGGGAAGAGAAUGACUGUACCGGAAGAAUAAGCCCCGGCUAACUACGUG